RNAcentral lists this unclassified non-coding RNA (336 nucleotides) under soil metagenome. RNAcentral describes it as "partial contains 5.8S ribosomal RNA, internal transcribed spacer 2, and large subunit ribosomal RNA". The stretch from base 1 to 120 matches the Rfam family "5.8S ribosomal RNA", at positions 35 to 154 of the family's 154-position model. The record is from RNAcentral.
GAUGAAGAACGCAGCGAAAUGCGAUAAGUAAUGUGAAUUGCAGAAUUCAGUGAAUCAUCGAAUCUUUGAACGCACAUUGCGCCCGCCAGUAUUCUGGUGGGCAUGCCUGUUCGAGCGUCAUUUCAACCAUCAAGCCCCCGGCUUGUGUUGGGGACCUGCGGCUGCCGCAGGCCCUGAAAAGCAGUGGCGGGCUCGCUGUCACACCGAGCGUAGUAGCAUACAUCUCGCUCUGGGCGUGCUGCGGGUUCCGGCCGUUAAACCACCUUCAUAACCCAAGGUUGACCUCGGAUCAGGUAGGAAGACCCGCUGAACUUAAGCAUAUCAAUAAGCGGAAGA